AGGCGACCACUGUCUCGAGGAGGAUGCCUGGCCGAGGGUUCGCUAUGGGUCAACACUGCUCUCGGCACUUUUCAGGCCCCGCUCCUGUGAUCGUCAGCACGACCCUGCAAGACGGACGUCGGCCCUGUCUUGAUUCUACAGCCGAUGGAGCUGGGGUGCAGGACCACAGCUCAAGGUGGUAACAGCUGUGGCCACUCCAGCAGGUGGGAUGACAAAGACCUAAGUCCACGCCAGGGAAACCAGGGUGACAAUCUUAGGCAGUGGCUGUGCUGGGGCAGAAAACAUCCCCUGACCCACGAGGAGGCACCCAGGACCCCAGCAGCACCCACAGCACCUGCUCCCUCAUCAUGGGGAGACGCUGUAGGGGCAGACACAAGAGGCAAAUCAAGGAAACAGCCUUACCGUCUGACCUGCAGAGAGCAUGUCUGGACCCCGCUCCGGGGUCCACUGCUGGGACUUGGACACAGAGCAGAGGGAGCGAUCACGGCUGAGACAGAAAGGCCACAGAAUGCAGGGGCCAGGAGACCUUCGGGGUGCUCACACCUGUCCUGUGGCAAACGGAGACCUAUGUCCAUCUUCCAUCCCAAGCCCUUACGUGAGUGAGGUGACCAUCAGGUGCUCGUGGGGACGGCCUUCUGUGGCCCAAGUCAGGAAGGUUUGGAGGAGCAACGUGGAGGGAAGGAGAUUGGUUUGAGCUGAGGGAUGUGCGGCUGGGCAUGAGGGGAGAGUCAGACAAAGACGACCCCAUCCUGGGCUGGCCUGCUCCGUGCUGUGCGUUCUGAAGCUCGGACUUCCUUCCAGCCUUCCUCUAGAUCUCCCAUCCCCGGUGACAGCACACACCAAAGAGCAUUUCUCAGAUGACCGCAGUGCAGGCCUCUCGUUGCAUUAAGUAAAUUUUUGAUGCUGCGGUGACACUUAGAAAAAGUGAGAUUCUAAGUCAGAGAAGGUGGACGAUGGCUGUUGUCUUCGGGAAGGGUGUGGCAAAUAACUUCCUCUGGGUCA
This is a long non-coding RNA of Lutra lutra (Eurasian river otter), 1002 nucleotides long. RefSeq lists it as uncharacterized. The transcript is spliced from 3 exons. The record is from RefSeq and is a predicted model, not a curated record. NCBI's taxonomy places the organism in Eukaryota, Metazoa, Chordata, Mammalia, Carnivora, Mustelidae.